Gossypium arboreum is the source of this 107-nucleotide small nucleolar RNA. It matches the Rfam family "Plant small nucleolar RNA R71". Rfam says of the family: R71 is a member of the C/D box family of snoRNAs containing the C (UGAUGA) and D (CUGA) box motifs. Multiple nearly identical copies of this snoRNA have been identified in Arabidopsis, and it is thought to function as a 2'-O-ribose methylation guide for 18S ribosomal RNA. NCBI's taxonomy places the organism in Eukaryota, Viridiplantae, Streptophyta, Magnoliopsida, Malvales, Malvaceae. The record is from Rfam.
AUACCAUUAUGAAGGCAUCUUCUCAAAAGAUCCUUAAAUCUCUCUCAAGUGUCAUACAGUGUUUCAAACUUAAAUUGGGCAAAAGAAGAAACAUCAUUCCUCAACCU